This 63-nucleotide transfer RNA is filed under the name Euparatettix tridentatus. RNAcentral's name for it is "tRNA-Glu". It matches the Rfam family "tRNA". From Rfam's summary of the family: Transfer RNA (tRNA) molecules are approximately 80 nucleotides in length. Their secondary structure includes four short double-helical elements and three loops (D, anti-codon, and T loops). Further hydrogen bonds mediate the characteristic L-shaped molecular structure. tRNAs have two regions of fundamental functional importance: the anti-codon, which is responsible for specific mRNA codon recognition, and the 3' end, to which the tRNAs corresponding amino acid is attached (by aminoacyl-tRNA synthetases). tRNAs cope with the degeneracy of the genetic code in two manners: having more than one tRNA (with a specific anti-codon) for a particular amino acid; and 'wobble' base-pairing, i.e. permitting non-standard base-pairing at the 3rd anti-codon position. Lineage: Eukaryota; Metazoa; Arthropoda; Insecta; Orthoptera; Tetrigidae. The record is from RNAcentral.
AUUUAUGUAGUUUAAAAAAACAUUACACUUUCACUGUAAAAAUAAUAGCAAUAUUCUUAAAUA